Molecule: transfer RNA, 66 nt
Filed under: pig gut metagenome
Rfam family: tRNA
About the family: Transfer RNA (tRNA) molecules are approximately 80 nucleotides in length. Their secondary structure includes four short double-helical elements and three loops (D, anti-codon, and T loops). Further hydrogen bonds mediate the characteristic L-shaped molecular structure. tRNAs have two regions of fundamental functional importance: the anti-codon, which is responsible for specific mRNA codon recognition, and the 3' end, to which the tRNAs corresponding amino acid is attached (by aminoacyl-tRNA synthetases). tRNAs cope with the degeneracy of the genetic code in two manners: having more than one tRNA (with a specific anti-codon) for a particular amino acid; and 'wobble' base-pairing, i.e. permitting non-standard base-pairing at the 3rd anti-codon position.
Source: RNAcentral
GGCGUAGCUCAAAUGGUAGAGCAGCUGACUUGUAAUCAGCAGGUUGUGGGUUCAAUUCCUAUCGCC